This 465-nucleotide ribosomal RNA is filed under the name uncultured bacterium. RNAcentral describes it as "partial 16S ribosomal RNA". It matches the Rfam family "Bacterial small subunit ribosomal RNA", at positions 28 to 507 of the family's 1533-position model. The record is from RNAcentral.
GACGAACGCUGGCGGCGUGCUUAACACAUGCAAGUCGAACGGAAAGGCCCCCUUGUGGGGUACUCGGGUGGCGAACGGGUGAGUAACACGUGAGUAACCUACCCUUGACUUUGGGAUAACUUCAGGAAACUGGGGCUAAUACCGGAUAGGAGCUCCUGCUGCAUGGUGGGGGUUGGAAAGUUUCGGCGGUUGGGGAUGGACUCGCGGCUUAUCAGCUUGUUGGUGGGGUAGUGGCUCACCAAGGCUUUGACGGGUAGCCGGCCUGAGAGGGUGACCGGCCACAUUGGGACUGAGAUACGGCCCAGACUCCGACGGGAGGCAGCAGGGGGGAAUAUUGCACAAUGGGCGGAAGCCUGACGCAGCACCGCCGCGUGCGGGAUGACGGCCUUCGGGUUGUAAACCGCUUUCGCCUGUGACGAAGCGUGAGUGAGGGUAAUGUGUAAAGAAGCACGGGCUAACUACGUG